GCAGCCUUUGCAGAAGGACGAUCUGCAGCAUACAGAUUGUUCGCAACAAUCAAGAGGAAACCAGAAAUUGACCCUGACGACCCAAGCGGCAAGCAGUUAGAAGACAUCAAGGGUGAUGUUGACCUAAAGGAUGUGUACUUUAGCUACCCAGCAAGACCAGAUCAACUAAUAUUUGAUGGAUUCUCAUUACAUGUGUCUAGCGGCACUACAAUGGCUAUAGUUGGGGAGAGUGGAAGUGGCAAGUCAACUGUCAUAAGUCUUGUGGAGAGAUUCUAUGAUCCACAGGCUGGUGAGGUUUUAAUUGAUGGCAUUAACAUUAAGAGCUUGCGGCUUGAUUGGAUAAGAGGGAAGAUCGGUCUUGUUAACCAAGAACCAUUGCUCUUUAUGACAUCUAUCAAAGAUAACAUAUCAUAUGGCAAAGAGGAUGCAACAAUUGAAGAGAUCAAAAGAGCAGCUGAGCUUGCUAAUGCAGCAAAUUUCAUUGACAAAUUGCCCAACGUAUGCCACAGAUCCAAUGAAUUAACUUCUUUACAUCCUGUAUCUUAUAUUGAGCUCAGUGCUAAUAUUUUUCUGUUUCUCUCAUACCAGGGCUAUGACACGAUGGUUGGCCAACGUGGCGCUCAGCUCUCAGGGGGCCAAAAGCAAAGGAUUGCUAUUGCAAGAGCAAUAAUUAAAGACCCCAGAAUUCUGUUGUUAGAUGAGGCGACUAGUGCAUUGGAUGUUGAGUCAGAGAGGAUUGUUCAGGAAGCACUGAAUAGGAUCAUGGUGAAUAGAACAACAAUUGUGGUUGCACAUCGUCUGAGUACUGUGAGGAAUGCCGAUUGCAUAUCAGUUGUUCAACAAGGGAAAAUAGUUGAACAAGGUUAGGAUCCCUUUUCCAUUGUGCAUUGUGCAUUUGCAUUCAUUACAUGCACACCAUGUUUUAACUAAGCAAUCAAUUCCUUGAAUCAAAAAAUAUUUCACAGGACCCCAUGAUGAAUUGAUAAUGAACCCUGAUGGUGCUUAUUCUCAACUUAUUCGUCUGCAAGAAAGCCAAGAAGAAGAGGAACAGAAAUUAGAACGUCGCAUGUCUGAUAAAAGGUCUAAAAGUAGAAGCCUCUCACUGAAGCGAUCGAUAGGCAGAGGUUCUGCAGGAAACAGCAGUCGGCAUUCUUCGACGGUCCCAUUUGGUAUGCCUGGUUCAGUUGAGUUGCUCGAAGAAAAUGAUACAAACGGGGAGAAUCAGAAAGAGCAGGCUGAUGAUAGUGAGGCCCCAAAGAAAGCUCCUAUGGGACGGCUUGCUGCUCUAAACAAGCCAGAGGUACCGAUUCUUUUGUUAGGAGCACUAGCUGCUGGAGUGCAUGGAGUGCUUUUUCCAAUGUUUGGGCUAUUGAUCUCCAAUGCCAUCAAAACUUUCUAUGAGCCGCCUGACAAACUAAGAAAGGAUUCAAGCUUUUGGGGUUUGAUGUGUGUUGUGCUGGGUAUUGUAUCGAUAAUAUCAGUACCAGUGGAGUUUUUCUUGUUUGGUGUCGCAGGGGGGAAGCUUAUCGAGCGUAUUCGUGCCUUGUCAUUUCGGAGCAUUGUGCACCAAGAAGUUGCUUGGUUUGAUGAUCCCAAAAACUCCAGGUUGACUACCAUCGUUUUGUUCAAUGUAGUAUUUUCUUUAUUUCUACUUAAGGGAUUACUAAUGGCCAAAUUCCAUCUUACAGUGGAGCACUUGGUGCAAAGUUGUCAGUUGAUGCUCUGAAUGUCCGAAGAUUAGUGGGUGAUAACUUGGCCUUGUUAGCUCAGGUCACCUCAUCGCUAAUCACUGGAUUGGUCAUUGCUUUUGUGGCAGACUGGAAGCUCACAUUGAUCAUCCUUUGUGCAAUGCCACUAUCGGGUGCUCAAGGAUAUGCACAAGUUAAGUUUUUGAAGGGCUUCAGUCAAGAUGCCAAGGUAAUAUAUGUAAAAAAACAGGCCUUCAGGUUGUUCUUGUCAUUAUACAAAAUAUGAAAUAACAAUUGAAACUAAGAUCUGCAUUUAUUUUGUCAUUGAGGUCUUCAAAUUACAUAAGAAUAAUGAUCACUCUAGAUAUUAUAUUUUGAAUACAUGCUAAAUGACAAUGUAUUGUUGUUUCUGCAGAUGCUGUAUGAAGAUGCAAGUCAAGUGGCCACUGAUGCUAUCAGUAGUAUCAGGACUGUAGCUUCUUUCUGUGCUGAGAAAAGAGUCAUGGCAAUCUAUGAUCAUAAAUGUGAAGCUUCAAAGAAUCAAGGGGUCAGAACAGGAAUGGUUGGUGGCCUUGGUUUUGGUUUCUCAUUCAUGAUGAUGUACCUUACAUAUGGCCUUUGUUUCUAUGUUGGAGGGCAAUUCGUGCGUCAUAACAAAUCUACUUUUGCAGACGUUUUCAAGGUUAGAAAAUGCAUCAUGUCAAUAGUAUUUUCUUCCUUCAACUUCCUAUUGAAGAUUUGAUUUUAACACGUGUCUUGCAGGUUUUCUUUGCACUGAUGCUGGCAACAAUUGGCAUAUCUCAAACAAGUGCAUUGGCUUCUGAUUCUACAAAGGCGAAGGAUUCAUCUGUCUCCAUAUUUGCUUUAUUGGACCGAAAGUCGAAAGUUGACUCAAGCAGUGACGAAGGUUUGACAUUAGACGAGGUCAAGGGUGACAUCGACUUCAGACAUGUUAGCUUCAAGUAUCCAAGCCGUCCAGAUGUUCAAAUCUUCAGUGAUUUUACCCUACACAUACCCUCCGGGAAGGUUAGCCUAACAUCUCUCUGCAAUGCAAUAUCUUCUCAGUGAUAUAAUCAGCUGCUUACUCCUUUUAUGGUUUUACACAGACUGUUGCACUUGUGGGAGAGAGUGGCAGUGGAAAAUCAACAGUAAUUUCUUUGCUGGAACGAUUCUACAAUCCUGACUCUGGUACCAUCUCACUAGAUGGGGUAGAAAUCAAGAGCCUAAAGGUCGAUUGGCUAAGGGACCAAAUAGGGCUGGUGGGCCAAGAGCCUGUGCUCUUCAACGACACAAUCCGCGCCAACAUAGCAUAUGGGAAGCACGGGGAGGUCACUGAGGAGGAGCUCCUGAAGGUCGCAAAGGCAGCCAAUGCGCAUGAGUUCAUAUCAAGCCUUCCCCAGGGGUAUGACACCACUGUUGGAGAGAGGGGGGUUCAGCUAUCUGGUGGCCAGAAGCAGCGGGUGGCCAUCGCAAGGGCCAUACUAAAAGAUCCAAAGAUUCUUCUUCUUGAUGAGGCAACGAGCGCCUUGGAUGCUGAGUCUGAGCGAAUUGUGCAAGAUGCCUUGGACAAUGUCAUGGUUGGCAGGACCACAGUUAUUGUGGCACACCGCCUCUCGACGAUCAAAAGUGCUGAUAUUAUUGCAGUUCUCAAGGAUGGCGUGAUUGUGGAGAAAGGAAGACAUGAGACGCUGAUGAACAUCAAAGAUGGAUUCUACGCUUCGCUAGUUGAACUUCGUUCAGCUUCGUCAUAGUACCUAGGUUAAGAAUUUUGUUCGCAUCACUAGGCAUUGUACAUCUUCCUUGAUUCUUCUCUUUGUUUUUAUAUAGUUAUAUGGUGUGCUACGAAUUUAUUGGGAUAUACCGAUUUAUUUGGGGUCGCUGCGCGGCUGCUAAAGACAUCAUGUGGUGGGCCGGUUUGCCUUGUGCAUUUUGAAACGAAACAAUUGGAUUGUGCACAAGGCUCGUGGUAUUCAAAGAUUUUUCAAGUGUUGUUUUAAAAUGACUGAGAGUUAUUGUUUUUCUUCACCAUUUAAUCUUCCUACCAGACACAAUCUUACAACGGAGCCGGCUAACAAACUGCCUGAGUCUCACAUCGACGGUAGCAACGUGCCGAUUGAUGUAGAGUAUCAUGAAGAAGAAAGCACCGAGGCAGAGCCAACAGAUGAAGUGGAGGAUAGUGAAUGGGUUCCAGAAGAGGAUGAAGAAGAGGACAGAGAUUUUGAACUAGAGGAGUGCGGAGAAGAAGAGGAUCACACGACCGCACCAGAAGAGGAGGAGGAGGAGGACGACGAUAACUGGGACAAUGACGAGGCAAAAGAGGAUGAGGACUACCAAGCAGAAGAGGAGGAGGAGGAUGGGCAGGAUGGUGACUGGGAUAGUGAUGAGACCGAAGAAGAUGAGAACUAUCAAGCAGAAGAUGAGGCCAAAGAGGAUGAGGAUGACUAUGAUAAAGAAGACGAUGAAGAGGAAGAUGAUGACAAGCCACGUAAGAAGAGAAGAUGUCUAGAUCAAGAUGGUGUUUAAGAGAUGGCUAGAGCAGUGCAUGAGCAGCCUUGCAGCGAGAACCAAGGUUCCAAUAGCAAGGACAAUAUGGACAAAUCAGUUAAUUCUGACGAAGAGAGCCAUGAGGAGAGCAACGACACUGAAGGCACGGAAGAUAUAGUUGAUUUGGGAUUUUUGGAUAAUAUAUUAAUACGUAAAUUUUCAUUAGUUUGGCUAUACUUUGCACGUUUUGUUGAAUUUUGUAUUUAACUAUUUUAUCAAUUUUUUUCUAAUUCUGUGUGCCGUGUCAUGAUUUGGAUAAUUGGAAAGGACAAUUUGCUUUAUUUUACCCCUAAAAAUGAUGUUUCCUUUUUGAGAUUAAUAACCAUAUAUAAGUCAGUAUUAUAUCCAAGAUCUGAUGACUUUUUAGCAGACGUAUGUGUUCAGCAAGAGCCAUUUUGUGCAGUUGCAAGAAGCCACGAAAGGAUUCACGAUCGGGCGCGCCGUUUCACGAUUAAUUAAUAUGCCAUCGCACUACUCUACUGCGCCGAUGCAUAAGCACGGUGUUUCCUCCUCGAUAGUUCCAUUCCUAAACUGCACUGUUCUUUACAGUGUAGGAUGUGUAGAGACUCACGUGUACGACAACAAUGUCAACCUCGCCAGAUUCCCCGAUUGAUCCUUCGGACCUAUGGCCUCCCAAGAUCCCGCAUAGAUGACAAUGAGGAGAAGGACUCUGUCGUAGUGUCAUCUGAUGGUGAGCGUGGGUCCUCGACCGAUAAAUUCUACAGCGUCGAAAGUGACGAAGACAUUAGCGAAGGUGUCGACAAUGACAGCAGCGACAACAAUGACGAUAGCGAUGACGGCGAAGACAAUGACAGCGACGAUGACGAUGACGAUGACAAUGACAACGGUGAAGACGGCGACAGCGGGCCACCUAGCAAGCGCCGUCGUGUGGAUGGCUAGAGUUAGAAUGGUGGAGCUCCCGGCUACGACGACGUCGCGUAAUCUCCUGGCCGACCUUCCAAAUCUUGUGAUAUAUUGUAUUAAUUUCAAUCUUCUUUGUAAAUAGGUUGUCUAUAUGUCUGUAGUCGGAAUGUCUAUGAACGUCGAGCAGAAUUACUUACAUGUAUUAAUUGUUGUUUAUGUAACAUGUAAUCAUGAAUGGCUAUACUCUGCGUAUUUUGUGACUAUUUCGUCGAUUUUGGCUAAUUCUGUGUGCUGUGUCAUGAUUUGGAUAAUUGGAAUGGACAAUUUGCUUUAUUUUGUCCCUAAAAAUGAUGUUUCCUUUUUGAGAUUAGGAGCUCUACAUAUAAGUUUGUAUUAUAUCCAAGAUCUUAUUCUUUUUAGUAGCCGCACGUGUUAAGGAGGAAAGCAUGUACGAGACACAUCAAUUAAAUAAAGGAAAUUAUCUAACAUGUUUCGGCUAAUUAGGGAUGGAUCAGCAUGCAUGCAAAUAAGGAUUUGUCAGGUGGGAGAUUCAAUCAUCCUUUCCUAAUUCGAGGUGCACGUCUUUGAUAUAUGGCAAAGAAUGUGGCGGCUAGUCUUGAUAUAUGGCAAAGUUUCAGUGAUAGGUUUUAGCGAUUAUUCUCUUGUACCCCCACGAUUUUUUCCCCUGAUGAUCAAUUUUCUAUACUUCACGUUUCCUUGUAUAAUCUUUAAUUCAUGCAUGAUAAUUUAUCUCCGCCUGACCUCUGCUAUAUCCAAUUUUAUUAUUCUUUCCUUCUAUAAAGUAGACACAACUUUCCUAUAUAUUCCCUCCACGUACCACUUCGCAACUGUUCUCUCUUUUCCUCGCGCAGGCCACCCAGACGUGUACCUGCAGUUUCCUCUUUGAUGUCUCCUGUUAGCGUAUCUCACAAAUGGAGGUUCAUGUUCCUUUACUCUCCUAAUGCCUCAUAAUUAUAUCACUUUAAGUUGAUGAUGUAAACUUCUUGUGCUUGUGAUUUUCUUUAUGUUAUAUGCGUUCCUAAUUUUCACUAUCAUAAUAUAAUGUAGGGAUACUUUGCUGCAUCAUAUGAUAUCGAUGUUCCUUCCGAGCAGACACGGGGUUAGGUGAAGGAGGGCUUGCCAAUGGGGAUUCGGAAGAAACCACCAUCGACGUGUUCAAGUCAGAUGGGUCUACUAUCACCCAAUGCCUGGUACAUAUAUAUUUCAUCAGUAUAUAUACUUAUAUGCGGUUAUGAUUGCUCGGUAGGUUUUAUAUGUAUUUCAUCUCGGUUUCUACAUGUAUUAACUUACAUGUAUUAAUUUUUGUUUAUGGAACAUGUAAUCGUGAAUGCCUAUAAGGUUAGUUUGAUUAUAGAGGUAGAAACCAUUUUAAGGACAUGUUAUUUUUAGAUUAGUUUAACAUGUCAUUUCAAUUGUGUUAUUUUCCAUUUCUCUAGAUGCCUUAUCUUCCCAUUGAAUUUUCUUAUUAUCUUCCAAAUCAUGGUAGUAUCUGAACAUUCAUGCUUUUUUCAUCUGAUGUUUAAUUGAUAUUUCUUCUUUGUAUUUCAUCUGAACACUCUUGGACCUUUAUUUCUCGAACACUCAUGCUGUAUUUCACGCACGUGCACAUCCACUACAUCAACAUCUAUUUUAUAUUUAUUCAGAACAAUUCUGGUGAUUUCAUGAAUCUGGCGACUGCGAUGGCUCUACCUCAUGGGACUGAGGUGGAUGCAGUAGCGGUGGUAGCAUUUGUUGUUGCAAUGGACUACAAAUUACUUCAUCCAUAUGGAGCAAGGGAGAUCUGUUUGGCGGACACAAAGUUAGUUUUGUUUAGUUAUACAUUUAUUUAAAUAAGAGCAUGCCUUAUUCUAUAAUUUUGUAUAACCCAUCUACAUUAUAAACCAUCUCUGUUAAAGUACACUAGCAUUCCUCCGUUUGGUGGUUGAUCAAAACGAUGUCGACGGGCAUAAACAAUUUCUCGCAGUAGAUGUCAACAACCACAUUGCAAUGGUUGCAAAGGUUAUUAUAGACCAGAAUAUGCGUAAAUACCAACGUUCAAUCUAUUUUGUUGUGGAUUAUGUUUAUUUUGACUUGUGAUGCAUUUUGAUGUUACGAUGAUCUCCAAUUACAGGGUGCCUGGCGGGAACUGCAUUGACUGCAAUCACUUUUUGUGAAACUGCAGCGCACCUGUGGAUGACAUCACUCGAAGGUAAACCAUUAUCAUUAUUUUGAUAUAAUUCCAUGAAAAGUAUUGCUCGUGAAAAAUGGUGUUAUUCUUUUUGCAGAUGUUAUAAAUUCUUUACGAAUGGACUCGAGGUUCAUGAAUGUGUUAAAGAGGCAGUGGCCGCUUGAUCCUACUAUAUUCCUAUACACUUCAAUACACCGCCCUUACCGUCCAUGGGAAAAAAUGUCAGACAACCUUUGAAGUAUCUUUUUGUCGUUGUCAAGAUUAGCGGAUCAAGAUUUAGACUAGUAAAUUUCUUUUAUGCGCGUAAGGCUUCAGAUGGUGACGUGGGAGACACAGGAUUUAGACUGGUUCGGGCAAAGGAACGCCCUACGUCCAGUGUCGGGAGCUGCUCGUGUUGCCCACGCGGGGUUCUGUAGUAGGGGUUAUAGGAGUGCGAGAGAGGGAUUCGGUCCCAGGUCUCUUGGGUGUGCACUGAUGCUCUAGGAGGGUGCCUGUGUGUGUGCCCUGUUGUCUUGGGAGCGUUAUGGUGUCUUUAGUUGUCCUUGGAGCCUCUCCCCUGUCUCAGGUCCCCCAUUCUCCUUUUAUAGCGUAAGGAGACCACCGGGGUUACAGGCGAGACCGAGUGUGGGGAGCGGUAAAGAGAUAAACAUGGCUGGAUAAAAAUACAACACGAAGGGAGGAACCGAGUUCCCAAGUUCCCGGCGUCCUCACCGGCCUUCGACUUCUGCCGGCGCGUAUGCCGGAGGAGGGUGGCCGGCGCCGCGCCCUGUCGAUGGCCUCCUCGGAGGCCGUAGCCGCCGGGUCGUGAUGAUGGCGUUUCGUCGUGACUCGGGUGUCCGUUGGGGGGGAAGGGGACGGCGGAUUCCGCCGUCCUGUUGACGGCUCGCGGAGGGCGGACGUCACAUCCCUACCGCUGUGCGCGCGGGACGCGAGAACGGGCGAGGUUUCCCUCUGCUCCAGGCGGCGCAGGCCAUGAGUGCCUUGUGGCGAAUGGGAGGAGGCCGCAGAUACUGUAGCUUGUACAGUGCGGCCGCACAUGGGUACUUGCAGCAGGUUGCGUGAGGGGCGCGGUCAUUCUUCUUCCUAACAGACCUGCGACGCAUUUAUGGCGAAAUCGAUAGGGGGACCCACGAGAUCUGCACCCGAGGCGGAUACUUGUCUGGCGGGCCCGGGUCAGCCCGACCUCCUACGCUUGGGGUCGGGCGAGGCGGAGACCCGCGGCAGGGGGUCGGACGCUCCCGACCUCAGACCUGCGGUCGGGCGAGGCGGAGCUUGGUCUUCCGGGGGUCGGGGAUGCCGGACCCUGGGAUACGGGGUCGGACGACGUGUUGGGCCGGCGCCAGUCUUGUUACCUUAGGUGGGCCUGGACCUUUACGUUUUGUUGUCUCCAUGAGCUUGGGGAGAUCGUUAAUAUUUCCCCCCAAUACUUUUUGACUAUAUGUUUAGGUCAGUGAAGAAGAUGGCAAAUGCACCCGCGUUCUGUAGCCCGAUCUAACAAUUGUCCAAAUGUUUAUUUUUUCAACGUUUCAGUUUCCCAUAUCUAAACUUGUUGUGGGAGUGUCUACUGAUGAUGAAUGUAGUUUGUUUAAUUUUUAAUAAAUAUUUAAAUUUGGAUUGUUAGUUAUAUGUUAUUUCAGUUUUAAUAAUAUAGUAACUAUUUAUUAUUACAUUAUAUAUAUUAUGCCAUCCUUUUUAUAUCACGUGCGCCGCGCACCUCCACGUCCACCAUUCAUAGAAAAAGCACGCACAUUUGCACAGAUGAAGGCAUGCCUAUUAUACUACUACGGAAAUAUCACUGCAUGCAUAGAAGUAAAUCAGGCGCAUCCAAUUCGGUCAUUCAAUCACUUUGUAAUCUUACUGUCUAUCUAACUGAUGAAUCAAUAGGUCAAUACGCAAGGCACGAAGCACUUCUUGUGCCAAAUCAAGCGCAUGGUGGAUUUAAUUAAAUCAAUCAGCACUUCAGAAGGAAACUUAAAAAAUAUCCAAAAAAGAACUUCGAAUGGGAUUUAAAUCUCACGCAUGGCACCUCCCCUUUGGCCUCGGCGCUACCGAUGGCGGCAUGCGCUUGGCCGGCGGAGCAGGCGCAAGCGGCAAAACUGCAGGCCCUCGUGCGCUCGACUACCGCCGCCCACCUGCACCUCCCGCCCGAGCUGCACGCCUGGGCACCUGUGCCCGAGCCCGCGUCGUGUGCCCUCCGCCUAGCCGCGCGCGCCCGCUCCCCGCGCCCCGCCCGAAGGCUCGCCGCUGGCCUCCUGGUGCCGCCGUCGCACCCAGCCGUGAGAGGAUUGAGAGAGAGGGGGAUCCGGAUUCCGGGGAGAGAGACGACGAGAGGUAGGUCAGGUCGGCCUCUUGAAGCAAUAUGGAAGAUAAGGGGCAACUUUGGCCGCGUUCGAUUUAUUGAGAAGUUUAAUCCGUGUUACAUCGAAUAUUUGAAGGUUAAUUAUGAGGAUUAAAUAUAAGUUAAUUAUAAAACUAAUUGCACAGAUGGAGGCUAAACGGCGAGAUGAAUCUAUUAAGCCUAAUUAAUCCAUCAUUAGCAAAUGUUUACUGUAGCAUCAUAUUGUCAAAUCAUAGACUAAUUAGGCUUAAUAGAUUCGUCUCGCCGUUUAGCCUCCAGCUGGGUAAUGAGUUUUGUAAAUAAUCUACGUUUAAUACUCCUAAUUAGUAUCUAAAUAUUCGAUGUGACAUGUGCUAAAAAUAAGUCAGAGGAACCAAACAACCCCAUCUGUUCGCAUGGCUUUUGUUAUUUUUCUAAUUGCUUUAUUCCAGGUGUUGGUAACAGAUUUAGAAUACGGGCAAACACGUUCGUUUUUUACAAGCGGGGUACAACAGAUUUAGAAUACGGGCAAACCCGUUCGUUUUUUAAAAGCAGAGUAAAAACACAAAGUGGAAGAGAGUGGAGUAAAAUCAUAAUUGCGGCUUAAAAUAGGGUAAGAAGGCAACAAUCCCAUUAAUAAAUAUUUAAAUAAUUAAACAUAUCAAAAUAAAUAUAAAAUAAAUAUUUCCAUAAGCAUAUAUAUCCUUUAACAAUAUAAAUAAGUACAUUAAUACAUAUAAGUGUAAUUUAUUCAUUACAUAAAUAAUAUAAUAUAUUUAAAAUUAAUAUGGUUAGCCAUAUUAAAAUUGAAGAAAUGUUAUCAUUGUAUAUCAUUACUGAUAUUAGAUUAACAUAAUUAUUCAUUUAUCAUAUAGAUAUUUUUAAUAAUUUAAAUGGUGCACAUCAUUAUUUUAUUAACAAUAUUAAAAUUAACAUCAUUUGUAGAUAGCGUUGGAUAUUCCACAUUUUUUUUCAAACACAAAUCUGAAACUGAAUGAAGAAAAAUACUGAAAAGCGAAUCCGGAUACAUUCCUUUAACAUCAUAUUAAAAAUAAAUACAAAUACAAAUAUCUAUAUUAGUAUUUUUUAUACGAGUGCAUAAUUUAGAUAUCACAUCAUAUCCAUCCCUAACCAUCGUGCUACUGGCUACUGCGACCAGCGAACCGGCCCCAUAAAUACCCUUGCAAAGUACUAGGCUGAGCCGUAGAGAGCCGCCCCCAAGGCAGCGCUUACACCGUACACACACCGAGCCGCGAGCAAUGGACGCCGCAGGAGGGAGGGAUGGCGAGGAGAAGGAAGAGAAGAAGGGGAACGGUGGCGGCGCCGGCGAGAAGAGGGUGUCAUUCACGGGUCUGUUCCGGUACGCCGACUGCACGGACGUCCUGCUGAUGAUCCUCGGCACGGUGGGGGCGAUGGCCAACGGCGUCACUGAGCCCGUCAUGACGGUUAUCUUCGGCCAGGUCAUCAACGCCUUCGGCGGUGCCAUCGGCGUGGACGACGUCCUCAGCCGCGUCAACAAGGUGAGCUCGCCGGAGACACCUCCGCCACGCUACCUAGCUAUCUCGUUGCUUGCCAUUCUCUUCUCCGUAGCACAUCUGCACAUGUAUGGCCGCGGAGACGGCCGUGAUCGGGCCGAGGUCAAAUCCCGUCUCAUGGCGGUCUGAUGAUCUGACCGAGAUGGAAAGCUCUGUUAAAUCUUGGCGUUUGUGCUUUCUUUCACUGCCCCAGGAGAAUGAUGGGGCGCGUAUCCUGCCUUUUGGCGCCAUUAGUCAUAUGGUGUUUGCUCUCUUUUCAUCUUUUAAUUUCUAUCAAAAUUUGCUAUUUCUUCUUGUUCUUGAAUCUCGAGAUAAAAGAUGGAUCGAUACCAACUGAAACUGGUAGUCUGGUACUUAUUAGAAAUCAAAAUGAUUCCACGAUCCCUGUUUUGACAGGAACUUAACUAGUGACUUCAAAUAUCAACAAGAUGCCUUCCAAUUCAAACGCGGGAAAUGCUUUGCAUGCAAAAUAUUGCACCGCUCCUUCAUUCUUCUUGGAGUAGAUUGUUCUCAUCUGUUCAGCUAUGCGUUUGAACCAAGUUUUAAUAUUUUCAGACCAAGGGGUCAAACUUUGCCAAAAAGAACCGUUUCAGGAUAACAAACAACUCAACAGGGGAGCCUUACAAUAAUGAGUGACGAGUCCUCCUCCCCCCUUCCUGGCCGCUGGCGACCCUGCGGGCGCCCCCCCUCCCGACCACCCCCGCCUCGUCGGGCGCUGCUCCCUACCAGCCGCCUCCCAGCUCCACCGCCCCACACGCCGCUGCCUCCAGCGCCACCAACGCCACCCAAUCCUCUGCCAACCCUGCCUCCGCCGCCCGCCGCGGCCCUCCUUUGCGGUGCCCCAACGCCCUGCGCUUCCGAGCAUGCGGGCCGCCAGACUGGGUGACCAUCGGCUUCACCUCCCCCCUGUGCCCCUUCCUGAGGACCCUCCGGCGACGCCCUCUCCUCUCCGAGCCUCUCGCCGGGUGAAGCCUUUUGGGAUUACGCCCUGCGUAAUUUCCACUCCGUCGUGCUCGCUCAUGUCUCCGCCUCCCACGCCGCUGUUGUAGCCCUCGAUCAUCUGGGUGAGCCCAUACCCCUGCCUCUCCUCUUGUCAGCUGCAAUGGAUGAAGAACACCAUCAAUUUCUGGCUUGAUGGCAGUACGCCUCUAGUCCCCCUGCUCGAGGUUGCUCCUUUCAUCUUUAGCCUCGAUGUUGCCGCCCCUCCAAUGCUCAUUUCCUUCUCACUCUCGGGAAUCUCCGCCAUGGUUGAUGCUGCAUCCAAUUCUUCCCGGACCUCGCAACGGUAACGGCCUCCAUUCCCGGUUUGAACUCCCCUACCCCGUUCUUGAUGGGAUUCCCCUUGGGCUGUGAGUCCUCCUCUGGGCCACCUUCUCCUUCCGGCCCAACUGCGGCCUGCACUCCUCCUUCUGUUGGUGCGGCCUUCCCCCACCCUGAGGGUGCACCACUACGUGGAUGUAAUAGUCAUCAUCUCCGUUAGGCUUCUCCUGUCGUGCACAUCGCCUUCACUCCAUGCACCUGAUGCCCACCCUCUUGUGGCGCUAUCACCCCUGCGCCAUCCACCUCUCCAGCUGGUGCCCAUCUAUCCGUCCUGCAGUGUGCCCGGUGCACGGGCCUGCUCCCCCUUCCCUCGAUUCCCGGGUUCUUCCCCCCGCUCCCCGCCUCUCUAUCUCCCACGCCAUACACCCCGCAGAAAACCCCAAUCCACCGCGCCUCCUUUGCCGCUGCUGCCGCCUCUCCUACCAAGCCACCACCGCAACCUUCACGCCCUCCGCCGCAUGCGCCACUCCCGCCGCUCCACCGUCGCUGCUUCCGCUGCCUCACCCUCGAUCAUCAUCGGGCGACAUGUAGAGACCCCAUUCGCUGUCGCCGCUGCUGGAUAUCCGGCCACUCCGAGCUCCACUGCAGGGCGCCCCCGCACCGCCUUGCCAUGCCGUGCCUCAACUUCAAUGGCGCCUCCGAGCAGAGCUCCCCUGGCUUCCCUCCCCUAUCAGCCCGGCGCUCUACAACUUCCUCCUCAUCCUCCAGGCUUACUCCCCAACCCGAUCCCCCCGAUGGACAUGGAGCUGGACCUGGAGGAGGGGGAGAUUCCACCGCGCCAGCCCCGGUAGCUGCUGAUGCCGACUUCGAUAGCUCCGACGAUGCUCUCCUCGACACGGAGAAUCUCCUGCUACCCCAGCACCCUGAUUCCGUCGACGUCUUCAUGUCGUCCUCCCACAUGGCGUGCUUCACCCACCUCACUUACUCCAUCAUCGACCCGCCACAUCAGGCGCCCAACGACGCCAUCCGCGAUUCCCUCGUGGCGCAUGGUAGUAACCCGCGCGUCAUGCUCACUCCUUCUUCCUACGGCGCCAUGCUCAUCAUGUUCGAGUCCAAUGCUGUGCACGAACACUCCAUGAACGCGCAGCCCUUCCUUGGUCGCGAGCAUUCCAUCACCCUAGAGUGCCAUGAUGAGACGGCCAACCUCUUCCACUUCGAGCACGGUGCGCUCAUCUCCCUCGCCAUCAAGGACUUCCCCAUGGAGCAUUGGAACUGCGAGUGCAUCAUCUACUCCAUGAGGCCCUACGCCAACCCGCACCUCAUCGACCCGAUCUACCUCCAUGGGAUUGACUUCUCCGCCGUCCUGCUCAUGGUGAAAGCUUAAGGUGAGGCCGAUAUCCCGCUUGAGGAGUUCUUCAAAAACCAUACUGGGCUGGGCACCUUCACUAGGGUUGAGAUCAUCCACGUCCUUGACCUGGAGGACUCUAACUCGGACUCCUGUGGGCCACCCUCGCGUAGCCCGGAUCACCCGUCCCUUAGCAGCCCUACUAGCAUAUUGGAGGAUGGCGACAACCUGGAUGGGCUUGGUGUGGCAAGACUCAAAUCUGGCCUCGCAGACGGCCCACCAGGCGGUGGUCCAUCCACUGCACCCCCGCCUCCCACCCCCGGUGCGCCCAGUACGUGCAUCAUCGCCCACACCUACCUAGAAGGCCCGAUGUAUGCCCGGUGCGGGGACAGCCCCAUGAUGCUUCGCGACAUCCUCCUUGUGCCCUUGGGCUGCAGGCGUGGGGACAUCAUCUUCCUAGAGGUACAUGCCCGCCUGCUCCUCGUCAAACCGUCCUUUGUUGAGGUGUUCCUCCACCGCGGCUCUAUUUUCGAGGUCGUGGUCACUGCUCCCGACGGUGACCGUGGUGUCUACAAGGUCCCACUAUAGCCAUUCUGCACAGACGUGCACGGGGACUAGGGCAUGCUCAUCGUCAACUUCUGCUUGGCGUCCGUGGGCUUCCUCCACUAGGUCUCCAUCGUGGGCGAGCGACGGAACGUCUUCUUCUCCACGAACGUUGUCAUGUGCGCCGCCUCUGGGCCCUAGCCGCCAGCGAACAUCUCCCUCCGCUACACCAUGCUCCUCUACGACGGUCCGGAUUUGGCUGCCCUAGCGGCCAUAGAGGUUGCAGUUCAGGCCCUCUUUCGCCGCAACUCCUGCCACCUCCGGUGGCGCUAGGUGCACUUGACGAUGACCUCGUGGUAGGGACUGCCUCUUAGGAAUUCCAGUUGGACGGGUUUGGACCCAAAACCUACGAGUUUUAGACCCGAUGGGGGUGGGGGCAGGUCUGUUUCCCUCCCUCCCGCGGGUUUGCGGGUUCGGGGACCUGAAACUGGGUGGGGCGGGGGUGAGUUUCUAAUCCCCUCCCCCCGCGGGUGACCCACGCGAGGCCCCGAAUUACAUUCCAGCCUAAAAAUUAGAUGUAGCCCAGCCCAACAAGCAAUUGGAAACCUAGAUAUGUAAGCUCUCCCAACCCUAUCCUCAUCCUCCUACUCCACUGUCUGGCCCUCACCCUCGCCCCUCGCCUGUGUGCGCCGCCCACCGCCUGCUCCCCUCGCCCGCGCCCCUCGCCCGAGCACCACUGGCCGCCUGCGCCUCACAUGUGAACUGUUGUCUUGCUCGAAUUUCGGGGGGCCCGUUGGGUUUCGGGCACCCGUGGGUUUCGAGGGUGGGUGCACAUUGUCAGUCAAAACAAGGUUUGAGUUUGGGGCGGGUUUUAUUCUUGAGUUUCGGGAGCGGAUCCGUGGAAGCUCCACCUGACCCCAACCCGUCCCAUUGCCAUCCCUACUACCUCUGAGGCACCAGCUGCUGCCCCCUGCCAUCGGCUCCGGUGGGGAGCCUUGGCACUGCUGGUGUUGUUGCUGAGGUGAGCAGCUUUUUCUCCUCUAGCUUCAGCUCCCUCCAGCUCAAGGCCCCCGUCACCGUGGCUGACAACUACACCGUCUUCCGUGCACCCUCCGACGAUGAUGCCCUGACCAUGCUCCCUCUACCUUAGCAAUGGUUUGCGGACUCCACUACCUCCAUGGCCUUGAAGCCGACGACCUCAAGUCUCCCAACCUCACGCUACGCCCUCGACGCGCCCUCAACAUGACAUCUAGAUGAUCCCGGUGACCGCGCUCCACCCAGAGACUGUUGCAGCCCAGGUAGAGGUCAUUGCUGCGGCCUCCAAUGACAUCCUCACUCCACCAGCGUUGGCGGUAAACAUCGACCUAAUUUUCCAUGAGACACUCACCCAGCCACGCUUGCCCCGGCGUCGCCACUUGAUGAUGGCCGCAGGUGCAGCCUUCGUCUCCACACCAAGGAACACCCACAGCAGGAGACAGUGGCUACAGCCGUGGUACGCAUCAAGAAGCGCAAGUACGACACCGACGGUCACCCUGCCUCCUCCUCCUCCAGCGUCCACCACAUCAGCUCCGACUCCAACUCCGACGAUGGCUCGACUCCUCUGGUGACUCCUCAGGCUCCACCGUGCUCGCUGCUGCCGCUACGUAGGACAUCGCCUCUUCUACUGCUGCUGCUCCAGCACCUCCGACAUGGAAGGUUGAGGACCUAUAGCUGCUGGGCCGCGCGUGUCAUGUUUCUAAUAGCUACCUCUCCUCCAUGGCCCACCUCCCUACCCCGCAGGUGGAGAACCUCGACUAGAUGAUGCGUCCUCUCUUCGACAUGCUCCAAGGACCCUUUUGCUGCUACGAUUGCGACGAUGUCGCCAUUUAUGUAAUCUGCGCACGCUAGAAGAAACUCUACCCUGAUGAUCUCGAGGCUGGCUUAUAUUGGCGCCCAUGUAUGAACCUUCAGAGCCUGUUGUGCCUUGCACGACGACUCUUGCUGUCGGAACAUGGUUGGGGCUCCCCCUUCAUGUUUUAUUGCUUGUUUGCUUCUUUCCUCGGGGUUGCUUGCUUGAUCCUCACAUUGGUGUAGUUCUGGUUCUUCCAUGGGUAGCCAUCCAAGAUAGAUCUCCAUCCUUUCCUGGAAUGUUCACGGCCUGGGUGACAAGAACAAAUGCAGUCAUACUCGGCUUGCGUUUUCCUUCCCCCUCUAUUGCUUGCCUCCAAGAAACCAAACUGCCUAACAUCUCCCAAUUCAAAGCUGACACCUUCCUCCCUCACCGCCUUGCCUCCUCCUUCUCCUUCCAGCCCUUCAUUGGCAUCUCAGGUAGUGUUCUAACAGCCUGGGACCCAAACCUACUCUCCCUAACUUCCUCCUCAGCGCGCCGCUUCACUUUAACCACAACCUUCCAAGCCACCACCACAAACCUAUCCUUCACCAUCACCAAUUGUUAUGGCUCCUGCGACGCCCCUACCAAACCCCUUUUCCUUGAUGAACUUGCUCAAAUAUGCACCUCCACCACCGACCCUUGGUCACUUCCAGCGGAUUUCAACCUCAUUCACUUGCCAACUGAGUGGUCAAAUGAUAAUUUUGAUCAUGUCAAGGCCACCCUCUUUAACAAUGCUAUUGACUCCAUGGCUAUGUAGGAGAUCCCUUGUUGGACAGAUGCUUCACCUAGUCCAACCACCAAGAAGAACCAAUCCUCACCAAGCUUGACCGGUUCUUCAUCAAAUAUGACUAGAGCUCCUUGAUCCCUGGUGCGGCUGUCACCUCCACCUUGGCAUAUAAGUCUAAUCACUGUUAGCUCUUCCUCACCGCCUCGACCACUAUCCCCCGCCGGUGAUCUUCUGGUUCAACAACCACUGGGUACGCCUCGAAGUCUUCACACAACUAAUCCAAGGUCUACCAGUGGAAUUGGGACCAUGUUGUCGACGAUCUUCUCAGUCUACUAGACCACUUCCACCAAGGCACCGCAAAACUGCACAGGCUCAACAAGGCAUUUCUUGCGCUUCUGUCCAAGAAGGAAUCAUCUGUCUUGCCUAAGGACUUGAGGCCUAUUUUGUUACAUAAUUGUGCAACCAAGAUCUGCUCCAAAGCCUUGACCAUGCGCCUGCAACCUUGCAUCUCCCAGCUAGUGCACUUGGAUCAAACUGGGUUCCUCAAAGGCGGUGCAUCACUGAAAACUUUGUUUACGCAGCUGAAAUUGUGCAAUGCUGCCACAAGCAUGGUGCGGCCGCCAUUGUUCUUAAAUUGAACUUCCGCAAGGCUUUUGAUUCCAUCAACUGGGAGGCUAUGGAAUCAUUUCUCCAAGCGAAAGGCUUUCCUGACCUUUGGUGCCAAUGGAUCAACCUCCUCAACGUCUCCAGUCAGGUAGAGGUGGUUCUCAAUGGUGUGCCAGGGAAAUGGAUUCAGUGUAAGAAGGGCCUGCGCCAAGGAGACCUAUUAUCGCCCUACCUAUUCAUCCUCAUGGCUGAUCUACUUCAACAGAUGAUCCUGCAUGCCUCUAACCUUGGACAGUUGUGCCACCCGCUUGUCAACAACUUGUCGUGCCCCGUGCUACAGUAUGCUAAUGACACCUUGAUCAUCCUUCAAGCUGACACCACCUAGCUAACGCGCUUGAAAGAAUUGCUGGACACCUUCUCCGCCACGAUCGGGCUUUACAUCAACUAUGAUAAGAGCACCUUCCUCCCCAUUGGCGUCGUGGCCAGCGAUGCCUCUCUCAUGGCUUCGAUCCUGGGGUGCCAAUUUGCCUCCUUCCCCCAAACCUACCUAGGGCUGACGCUGUCUGCCUACAAGCUUCGCCUCUCUAACAUGAUGCUGAUGGUGAGAGCUGUUGACAAUUAUGUUCUAGGAUGGUGUGGCCCUUGCUCACCCCAAGUGGUCAGACUACACUGGCCAAUGCCGUGCUUGGUGCUCGUGCUGUCUGUGUCAUGUGUUCUAAGCUCCUUCCUGCUACUACGGUCCAAGUCAUUGACAUCAUGAGGCGUGUUUGUUGAUGGCAGUUAGCACGCCAGUUUGUUAACCACAAGCGCACGGAUCAUCGUAGUUUUUCUUUUAGAGUAUUCCAUCCAAGGUUUAUCAAUCCGUGGAUUGGCAGCGAACUAACUAGAGUUUUCCAUCUAAUCUAACGGAUCUAAUCCUAACAUGAAGCAUAGAUUGCAUAUGAAGAGGGUAAUCUUGGUGUAAAGGUAAAUUAUGAGAACAGGUAGAUCACAUCCACAUAUAUGUAUAUGAUAAAACACCAUCAAGGGUAGUAAGAGCCUAUCGUCUUCUAGCUGUAGUUCUAGCUAACAAGCAAGUACAACAUGCAUCUCAUCCAAAGCAAUCUUUAAACUACUACCUCCGGUCAACCUCCCGAAAACCCCCACCUUACACAAACCAAAUCCUGUCACGAUCCUCUCUAUCAGUGCACACAGUUUAAGGGCAGAAACACAAGUGAACAUAUCUAAAUAUCAUGAAGGGUCAAAUACUAGAUCUAAUCACCAUGAUUACAUAAAGCAUGCUAUGAAAUCUAACCUCGAAUUAGACUAAGGAACAAGCAUAUUCAUGAUAAGAAGAAAGCAUAAAAGGAGACAACAGAGUCGCUAAUAGAUCGGAUGACGUGAAGAAUAUUUCUCAUAUAAUAGAUGUAUUUAGAUCAUCACCAUCGAGUACAUACCAUUGAUGAUCAUAACUAGCUCCUGAACUCCACCAUGACACAACCGCGCAGGGAGGUCAUGGUGGCUAGGGUCGGCCUAAGCCAUCUCCUAGACAACUACGAAGAUUUGCAGCGGCCCUCAGCUCCCUCUAGUGGAUGUCCUUCGUUUCGUUGAGUUCUCGUGGAUGGAUGCCGAGGCUCGGUGAAUUUUUGAGGUAUUUAUAGUCCGGGGAGCGCAUGGUGAAAAUUGGAAGGAGAGAGAAGUAAGGAAAUCCUCAGGUCGAUCGGCCUGAGGGGUCCAGGCUGAUCGGCCUGGCCCUUCCUUAUGGUCUCUCGUACCCUCCUUCGUCACCAAGUCUUCUUUGAUGAUAUGGAAACUUAUUUUUACUUGCAUGCAGGAAUUGCACGUCGAUAGCCUCAGGAUAAGGAUGGAUCUUGAUAUCUUUCCAAAGUUCUGCUUGCUUCUGAACUUGUCAUAUCUUAUGAAACUUAGCCCCUAAAUAAUCUUGGAGAAGUCUUCGCCGAAGAUGAGCAUGAUCGGGGCCCUGAGGACCCUAGGCCGAUCGGCCUGGGCCUCUAUAGGCCGAUCGGCCUAGGCCCUUUUUGCACCCGUUAGCCUUCGUCUUUCUUUGGAUUAUUGCUUGUUGAGGGCCUUGUCCAAUUAUGCUCCAAUAUAGUCCAAUUUCCUGCAAAAACAGAAUGUCCUCCAAAAUACAAUGCAUAUGCGAAAACAGGAUUAUUUUAGGUGUCAAGUAGCGGAUUAGUAUAAGAAAAAUAGCAUUAAAAGUGUGUCAAUAACGAGCGUCAACAGUAUUUUCAUCUGGACGGGAGACUCCACCUGCCAUGGCAGCCAGUGCGAAGUUGUUUGGAAGAUGGUCUGUUGGGACAAGAGCAGCGGCGGCUGGGUGUCAAAGAUCUUGCUUGCCAAAACUGAAGUCUGCUGAUCAAGUUCUUGAGUAAACUCCACCAGCCUUCUACCACCAACUGGCAGCGCUGGUUCCACAGCUUCUAUGGGCAUGAAGCUGGCCGAGACCUUAGCGAUACCCACCACCUUGAUACUCCAACAUGGUCCAUGCUCCUGCCACUCCUACCGGAAUUCCGGCGCUGCACGACCGUCCACCUGGGCGACGGCCUCUCCGUCAGCUUCUGGCACGACCACUGGAUUGGGCUGGAUUGGGCCGCAGCUGCUGGCUUCCACCUUCCGGGCUCUGUUCUCCUUCUGCCGGCGAUCCAACAUUUCUGUCCACCACGCUUGGGCGGAAGGGCAGUGGGAUCUCCAGCUCCACCCCCGGCUCAGCACCGCCGCGACCGCAGAGCUGACCGUCCUGCUCUCCGCUCUCCAGCACGCCCAGCCGGACGUGCCCGACCGUCGCGGUAUUGGCGUUCAGCUGCAACCCUUCUCUACGUCGGGAUUCUACAGUUGCCAUAGAGAGCUCCUCCCUCCUGAUCCUUUUGCACCCUGCAUUUGGAACAACGCCGCCAUCCCAAGGUGCAAGCACUUCCUUUGGCUGGUUCAUCGACAGCGCCUACCAUCUGCUGCACUUCUCCAUCACCGACACAUCAUCGAUUCCCCGCUCUGUGCAUUCUGUGGUGAAUAUGAGGAUCAGGAACACCUCCUUCUCCGCUGCCCGCGAGUGCGCCGUCUCUGGAGACAGGAUGGCUGGUCAAUGGUGCCAUACCUCGGCACAUUCCAUGGCUUAUGGGACAUACCGGAGCUCUCGGAGUCCGCUGAUGCAGUCCGCUCCACCGUCAUCACCGCUCUGUUGUGGAACAUCUGGAAGAUGCGUAACUCCGUCGUCUUCAACACUGUCUACCAACCGAUGCGCCUCACCAUCUUUGCUGUGGCUUCAGACCUGGAAUUAUGGAAGCAUCGUGUGCGCCGCUCUACGCUAGUUGAUGCACUGCUGCAAUGGAGUUUAAUUUUUAGCAACAUUGUAACCUAAAUGCUCCCCACCCCUAUGUACUCUACUUUCGCAAAUCUUGUAUGCACCAAAUUUGCAUAUUAAUACAAAAGUUCAGGCCGGCUACUUGCCUGCCAUAGUUCCCCUCCAAAAAAAAAAAAACAAACAACUAACUCAACGCUCCAGGGACCAACUAGCAGCAUAAUUUUUAACAUUUAAUUUAUUUUCUUCGGGGAAUGUUUUUUUCUUUCUCACAUGGGAGCUCACUUGUAUUAAGAUAAAAUGUCUAGUCCAUUUACAAUGUGUUUUUCUGAAAGCUGCCUUUCUGAAGUAGGAAUACGAUCAAUUAGCUAAACACAGUAACUUUAGGUUAUUCCAGUUGAUUGCAACUUGUAUAAUAUGACCAUGUGGAACAGAGUUACUAUAAUUGAUAACCAACCACCACAGGUAAUGGCUGGAAUCUUUCCUGAUCAAAGAUCCGGAACUCUGUCCAAGAAUAGGGUUUGAGAUCAUCCACACUGUCAAAUUUGUCGGUUGCAUGUUUUUUGGCGGCAGUUUUUUUAAUAUGGUUCCUGAAUAAAAUAAAGUCAUGGCAAAACUUUCAUAAAAAUUCAUUUCCUUGCAUUCUUUUUCGAAACAUGAGUACAUUUCUCACCCUGCUGCUGUUCCACUUUACUUUCCUUUCAGGCACUUCUGAAUUUUGUCUACCUGGGCAUUGCAACAGCGGUUGUGUCCUUUCUCCGUAAGUACGAGUAGACUUUGCUAACCCUUUCAAUCUUCAUAUCCGCUUGCACUCUGCAUCACAAGCUGACAUUGCUGCAAAUCCUGCUGCAAACGAUCCCAUCGAUAGUAAAAAGAAUCAUGCAUUACGUACAAUAAAAAGAUAAGCUUAACAAAAAGAAGCUUGUCGCAUAUACCAGCUUGCGCUCAUACCAGUGUGUCAACUUUCAAACAUGGAAGCUGUCAUCACGGAGCAGAGUCCAACUUUGACUUUUGUUAUGUACUUUCAAAGAAGGGUACAGAAAGUUUGUGUUCAGCAGUUCAUGAUAGUGGUUACAAAGCCAACAUGUUUAGAUACAAUAAAAGGUGUACGAUUAAAGCAUUGCUUCGUCAGCAAACUGAUUUUAGAAAAAUCUAGUGCAUGUUUAAGGCAUAUAUAUGAUGCUCGUAGCCUCAUACCAAUAUAAUUGAAUUCAAUGCAUUUUUGUGCAGAGGUGUCAUGCUGGACAAUGACAGGAGAAAGGCAGGCAACACGAAUUAGAUCUCUGUACCUUAAAUCUGUCCUGAGACAAGAAAUAGCAUUCUUUGAUGUCGAAAUGACAACUGGGCAACUAGUUUCAAGAAUGUCUGGUGAUACCGUGUUGGUUCAGGAUGCCAUUGGUGAGAAGGUAAAUAGCUCCCCUCUAUAAAAAUGAAGAGUGCAGAAGCAAACUUUGUGUUGACUAUCACCAGCUUAUAUCGAAACUUGCACAAUUUGACUCUUACGAAACUCUUCAGGUCGGCAAGUUCCAACAACAUAUUGCUACCUUCAUAGGUGGCUUUGUAAUAGCAUUCAUAAAAGGAUGGCUUUUAUCUCUUGUCAUGUUGGCAUGCAUACCUCCAGUUGUUGUGGCUGGAGGAAUGGUCUCAAAAAUGCUUUUUAAAAUCUCUAGCAAGGGGCAAACAUCAUACGGUGAAGCAGGGAAUGUAGUCGAACAGACGCUUGGGGCCAUUAAAACAGUGAGUUCAAUGCACUCGGUGACUGAAUAACGACAAAGAGAAAUCACUACAUUUUCAAUGUGACAUGCACUCACCGGUUUUCUUCUGGCUACAUCUGUAAAACAGGUUGUCUCCUUCAACGGUGAGAAGCAGGCUAUUGCAGCGUACAAUAAACUCAUACACAAGGCAUACAAGGCAGCUGUUGAGGAAGGAAUUACCAAUGGUUUUGGCAUGGGGUCUGUUUUCUGUAUAUUUUUCUCAAGCUAUGGUUUAGCCAUAUGGUAUGGUGGCAAGUUGAUUCUUAGCAAAGGUUACUCAGGAGGAGAUGUCAUCAAUAUCUUGUUAGCUAUAAUAACUGGGGCAAUGUGAGUUUCUCUAAAUCGAGAUAAAGAAAUUCUUUUGAUGAUCCAUGUUGUAUGAUCCAUGUUGUCGAUUUCCAACGUUUUGUGCAGGUCGUUAGGUAAUGCAACACCCUGCUUGGCAGCCUUUGCAGAAGGACGAUCUGCAGCAUACAGAUUGUUCGCAACAAUCAAGAGGAAACCGGAAAUUGACCCUGACGACCCAAGCGGCAAGCAGUUAGAAGACAUCAAGGGUGAUGUUGACCUGAAGGAUGUGUACUUUAGCUACCCAGCAAGACCAGAUCAACUAAUAUUUGAUGGAUUCUCAUUACAUGUGUCUAGCGGCACUACAAUGGCUAUAGUUGGGGAGAGUGGAAGUGGC
Molecule: long non-coding RNA, 23221 nt
Filed under: Setaria italica (foxtail millet)
Lineage: Eukaryota; Viridiplantae; Streptophyta; Magnoliopsida; Poales; Poaceae
Description: long non-coding RNA (SITA_LNC003939)
Source: RNAcentral